This is a long non-coding RNA of Dinoponera quadriceps, 345 nucleotides long. RefSeq lists it as uncharacterized. Lineage: Eukaryota; Metazoa; Arthropoda; Insecta; Hymenoptera; Formicidae. The transcript is spliced from 3 exons. The record is from RefSeq and is a predicted model, not a curated record.
AACAUCAAUGUCCUAUUUCACGAUGCUGCGUUCUCUUCACUGACGGUUUCAACAUAGUAUCGUAGUACACACGUGUCUGAACUGCUUGCAAAACUCGGGCAUAUUUUAUAAAAUAUGGCCUGUCAUGGUGACAUUAGCGGCUAGUCUAUUCGAGUCGAUGAAGAUCACACACCCCAAGACCGUGGCAAUUACCUUUCCGGCCAAUGGGACCGUCUACCUACUUCGGAGAACGUUUGCUCAGUGAAGUCCACUAUUUUGACUGUUCCUUGAUCUCCGCUUUGGCAACGACUAAUAAGAAAGCGGGCGAGAGAAAAAUCCAGCAGCGCAUGCAGGCGUACUUCGCAG